AGAGUUUGAUCAUGGCUCAGAAUGAACGCUGGCGGCAUGCCUAACACAUGCAAGUCGAACGAGAUCUUCGGAUCUAGUGGCGCACGGGUGAGUAACGCGUGGGAACCUACCUUUUAGUACGGGACAACGUUUGGAAACGAACGCUAAUACCGUAUACGCCCUCCGGGGGAAAGGUCUGCCGCUAAAAGAGGGGCCCGCGUCUGAUUAGCUUGUUGGUAGGGUAAUGGCCUACCAAGGCAAUGAUCAGUAGCUGGUCUGAGAGGAUGAUCAGCCACACUGGGACUGAGACACGGCCCAGACUCCUACGGGAGGCAGCAGUGGGGAAUAUUGGACAAUGGAGGCAACUCUGAUCCAGCAAUGCCGCGUGUGUGAUGAAGGCCUUAGGGUUGUAAAGCACUUUCAACGGUGAAGAUGAUGACGGUAGCCGUAGAAGAAGCCCCGGCUAACUUCGUGCCAGCCGCCGCGGUAAUAC
RNAcentral lists this ribosomal RNA (472 nucleotides) under uncultured bacterium. Its description in RNAcentral is "bacterial SSU rRNA". It matches the Rfam family "Bacterial small subunit ribosomal RNA", at positions 8 to 526 of the family's 1533-position model. The record is from RNAcentral.